This 75-nucleotide transfer RNA is filed under the name Pseudonocardia hydrocarbonoxydans. Its description in RNAcentral is "tRNA-Leu". It matches the Rfam family "tRNA". From Rfam's summary of the family: Transfer RNA (tRNA) molecules are approximately 80 nucleotides in length. Lineage: Bacteria; Bacillati; Actinomycetota; Actinomycetes; Pseudonocardiales; Pseudonocardiaceae. The record is from RNAcentral.
GCCCCCGUAGGCCAACCGGCAGAGCCAAUGGAUUCAAAACCCAUUCAGUGUGCGUUCGAAUCGCACCGGGGGCAC